GCUGCUCGAAUCUUUGUACACCUCUCUGUGGUGAGCAUUAGGCAACACAGGAUGAAUACUGUGGCUAAGAUACAUAG
This 77-nucleotide ribozyme is filed under the name unclassified sequences. RNAcentral describes it as "HDV ribozyme from F. prausnitzii". It matches the Rfam family "HDV ribozyme from F. prausnitzii". The record is from RNAcentral.